This is a long non-coding RNA of Chiroxiphia lanceolata (lance-tailed manakin), 961 nucleotides long. RefSeq lists it as uncharacterized. The transcript is spliced from 2 exons. Lineage: Eukaryota; Metazoa; Chordata; Aves; Passeriformes; Pipridae. The record is from RefSeq and is a predicted model, not a curated record.
GGGGUUCUGUGGCACGCAGAUGGGCGGUUAUUAUUAUGCUAAACUGGGAAUGGGUAAUCCCACAAUACAAGAUGAUUUAGCUCUCAAUUCCUCGUCACCAGCUCCAAGUUAACUCUGGAAUUAGCUCCCACAUGUCACACCUCAGAGGCAACACUGAACUCACUCUGAAUUAUUUAGAGCUCCUUAGCAGCAGUUUCACUUGGGGUACUCAAGCUGAAAGGAAUCUGGAGUAUUACAGGAUGAGAAAAAUCGGUGUUUUAAGCCAAAAUCACCUCAAAUGUUUAACUCAUCCACAGUCUGACAAAAGCUAAUGGCCCACAGACCCUAUUCUGCAUCUGUAACUUAUUAAAUACGUUUUAACAGGAUGAAGAAGCAAACCCUGUUUGUUGCUGCCCCCUGAGCUGCACAUCAGCUGCACAUCACCUCAGCCUGAACCAGGCUGUAUUUACUGACUGCUGUACCCUGGCACACGGGAGGAAUAAAUGGGGAGUAUUUGUACCUCCUUGCUCUCUGCAUGAGGAAGCCAUAAGGAAGCUUGUAAAUACAAAGCUGAAUUUGUGACAAACUGUACCUUCUGUCAGCGACGAGCCCGGGGCCUCAGGGGAGAGAGAGCAUCCACAGGAGGAGUUUUUCCGAGUGUGUGACUGCAAUCCGGCCGAGCCAGCCCUGCUCCCACAGGGAAGUUGACUCUAAUAAAUGUUCUCUCGGGCAUUACCUGCCGAGCCCAGGGGGCAGCGCCGGGCUCUGCACGGCCCCCGUGCUCCGCAGCCACCGCCUCGGCUUUGUGGUCGGUUCUUCCCAAGAAGUCCUUGCUCGGGUCCAAGUCAGACUAAAUCCAGAGCCAGCGCUCGGCACACGCAGCAAUUACCGACAGGGAGAUUUAGAGGCCCUGACCUUUCUUUCUUAUCUUCAGUCAUUAUCAGAUUUCAUCUUCCAGUCAAUAAAAUCCGCUACAAAGACA